GCUAUAUAGUCUGAAUGUUAGUAUCUUCCCAAAAUUCAUAGGUUGAAAAUCUAACACUCAAGGUGACGGUAUUAGGAGGUGAGGACUUUGGGAGGUGAUUAGGUCAUAAAGGCAGAGCCCUCAUGAAUGGAAUUAGUGCCCUUAUAAAAGAGGCCUGAUAGAGACCCCCUAGCUCCUUCUACCAGGACAUAGGUAGAAGGUGCCAUCUAUGAACCAGAAAGCAGAUCCUCACCCCUCACCAGACACCAAAUCUGCCAGUGCCUUGAGUUCGGACUUCCUAGCCUCUAGAACUGUGAGAAAUUUCUGGGCAAAGAAGGACUUCCAUUCAUUGUUUUGGUGUAUAGCAUAGCCUUUUUGAGCCUUUCUUCAGCUUCAUGAUGUGACCAGAACCACGUGAGCAUUCCAAGAGCAGACACACCCCAUUUACAGAUAAGAGCACCCUCCUUGCCUUGUUUACAAAGCUCUUCAGUAUGCUAUAUACACUUGGCUUGACUUUUGGCCACAAUAGCAAACUAAAAUGAUCUCUUGAGAGAGCUGGUAUUAAAAACUACUCAGCAUGGUGUAGUUGUAAUUGUUUACCCCAAGAAAUAUCACCUUAGGCUGGGUACAGUAGCUCAUGCCUAUAAUCCCAGUACUUUAGGAGGCCAAGGUGGGUACAUCACCUAAGGUCUGGAGCUUAAGACCAGCUUGGUCAACAU
This 698-nucleotide long non-coding RNA is filed under the name Homo sapiens (human). Its description in RNAcentral is "HSALNT0291938". Lineage: Eukaryota; Metazoa; Chordata; Mammalia; Primates; Hominidae. The record is from RNAcentral.